Molecule: transfer RNA, 71 nt
Filed under: Candidatus Moranbacteria bacterium CG10_big_fil_rev_8_21_14_0_10_35_21
Lineage: Bacteria; Candidatus Moraniibacteriota
Description: tRNA-Trp
Rfam family: tRNA
About the family: Transfer RNA (tRNA) molecules are approximately 80 nucleotides in length. Their secondary structure includes four short double-helical elements and three loops (D, anti-codon, and T loops).
Source: RNAcentral
GCGGGUGUAGUUUAACGGUAGAACAGCGGCCUCCAAAUCCGCUGGCGAGGGUUCGACUCCUUCCACCCGUG